RNAcentral lists this ribosomal RNA (201 nucleotides) under Triticum aestivum (bread wheat). RNAcentral's name for it is "partial small subunit ribosomal RNA". Lineage: Eukaryota; Viridiplantae; Streptophyta; Magnoliopsida; Poales; Poaceae. The record is from RNAcentral.
AUGCCCACGUUUAAACAACUUAUUAGAAACACAAGACAGCCAAUACGAAAUGCUCGAAAAGCUGCGCUUAAAGGAUGCCCUCAGCAUCGAGGAACAUGUGCUAGGGUGUAUGUGCGACACUUUCAGAUCAUGACUUCAAACGAAUAUGGAGUGCCAUGGCAUUUGAAUUCCAAACAAUUAAAAAAUGAUCAGACAAUGUAA